RNAcentral lists this ribosomal RNA (467 nucleotides) under uncultured bacterium. Its description in RNAcentral is "partial 16S ribosomal RNA". It matches the Rfam family "Bacterial small subunit ribosomal RNA", at positions 29 to 507 of the family's 1533-position model. The record is from RNAcentral.
ACGAACGCUGGCGGCGUGCUUAACACAUGCAAGUCGCACGGAAAGGCCCUGCUUUUGUGGGGUGCUCGAGUGGCGAACGGGUGAGUAACACGUGAGUAACCUGCCCUUGACUUUGGGAUAACUUCAGGAAACUGGGGCUAAUACCGGAUAGGAGCUCCUGCUGCAUGGUGGGGGUUGGAAAGUUUCGGCGGUUGGGGAUGGACUCGCGGCUCUUCAGCUUGUUGGUGGGGUAGUGGCUUACCAAGGCUUUGACGGGUAGCCGGCCUGAGAGGGUGACCGGCCACAUUGGGACUGAGAUACGGCCCAGACUCCUACGGGAGGCAGCAGUGGGGAAUAUUGCACAAUGGGCGGAAGCCUGAUGCAGCAACGCCGCGUGCGGGAUGACGGCCUUCGGGUUGUAAACCGCUUUCGCCUGUGACGAAGCGUGAGUGACGGUAAUGGGUAAAGAAGCACCGGCUAACUACGUG